GGGCACUACUUGCUGAAAAGUCUCUCUUUUUUUCUCAUUGAAUUGCUUUGACAAAGUCCCUUUGUUGAAAAUAAAUUGACUACCUCGUGCAAGUCCAUCUGUGGACCCGGGGUCCCGUCCCGUCCAUCUGUAUUUCUGUCCCCAUUCAAUAUCACAUGGUCUUGAAGUCCUGAAAUCAGGUCCUGGAAGACCUUCCACUUUGCUCCUUGUCAAAAUCGCUUCAGCGAGUCUAGGUCCUUUGCAUGUCCAUGUGAACUUUAGAAUCAGCUUGGAAAUUUCUAUUUUAAAGCCUGCUAGGACUUUGAUUGAAAUUACACCAAAUCUACGGGUGACUUUGGGAAGAUCUGACACCUUAGUAUUUUAUUUUUCAAGCCGAGGAUAUGAUCUAUCUCUCCAACCACUGAAGUUGUCUGAAAUUGUCUCAGCCAUGUCUUGCGUGUUUUAGUGUAAAGGGCUUGCACAUAUUUUUUUUUUUUUUUUUCCUUUUGGGGGCCGCACCUGUGGCAUACGGACUUCCCUGUGGCACAACAGGAUCGGCAGUGUCUCCGCAGAGCCAGGAGGCAGGUUCGAUCCCCGCCCGAGCACAGUGGGUUAAAGGAUCUGGCGUUGCCUAAGCUGUGGCGCAGGUCGCAGCUGCAGCAGCUCGGAUCUGAUCCCUGGCCCAGAAACUCCAUGUGCCUCAGGGCGGCCAAAAAAAAAGGAAAAAAAGGAUGAGAUGAGAUUCUAUCUUAAAAAAAUUUUUUUUAAGUUUCUUGGGCUCUGAACACUUGCAUUUCCAAAACCGGUAGUGAACUGUUUCUCCAGAUUUACAGAAAGGAGAUUCGAUAAGACAGUCUAGUUGUUCAUCAGGUGUGACUUGGUCUCUCCUUCCUCAGCUGCUAGACUCUCGUCAUUCCUAGUUUCUCUGUUGUUGCGAUUGUAUCUUGUGGCUGCAUGCUCAGUGUAUGGAAGUUCCUGGACCAGGGACUGAAUCUGAGCCACGGCUGCAACCUAUGGCAAAACCCACUGCAAGGAUGGACUCCUGGCCUUCGCAGCAACCCAAGCAGCCACAUCAGGUUCCUAACCCACUCCCCCGCAGUAGGAACUCCCAUUUCUGUUUUUUUUAAUGCAUGAAUCUUUUUCAGUUUCUUGCCUGCUUUGUCCUUUCCGCUUCCCUUAUGUAUUUUGUUUUCAGAGGCUUUUUUGUCUGAAGACUUCUCUUCUCUGGUGGCCUCCUGUGGGUUAAUUUCUACUUUUGCAGGAAUGGGUUUGGCCGACAACCCUGUCCUCGCCUGUGGGCUUGUCAUUUGUUGCCCCUUUGGCUUAACUGACCUUCCCGGGGCUCCCUGGGGAGAUUUCGCUGGGGAGGGGGGCUGCCCGGCUGCAGAGGCACCGACCCAUCGUGCCCACGCUGCUGGCACCGGGUGAGGUGGACAUUCAGGUUCACGGAGCAAACUUCGAGGCCCUGGGGCUGCCGUGGGGAAGAUGCUCACCUGGAGAAUGGUCCAGAAGUCGUUCUCACGACAAAAGGACCCCCAAGUCAACUUCACCCUUCAGACUGGGGGAACUUGGUUGGAAACCAUUUCAGUCCACGUGCCAAGCCUUGAAGGUGUCCUGUUUCCACAGGCUGUCGGAGGAGCCCGGGUCGUCUGCAUGGCACGUAACUGGCAACACGCACGUCCAUGCCGAGGCGCUGUUGGCCAGGCAUGACUCGUUCGCCUCUGGGUAUCUAAGUAGGGUGUGUCAACAGGUUCCUCAAAAAAAACCACAAAACGAAUAAACCCCAGCACGGGAAAGCAGACCCAGAGGCAGGCAACUGAGAUCUUUCCCCAAAGCCGCUGAAGCAAGCAGGGUGCUCACUGGCGCCGUUUGAAGGCUAACCAAUUGGCAGGUAAACUAUUCGCUGGCAUCAUGGCAGCUGCCCCGAGAAAGUGUGACAUCAUCCUGAACGCCAAGCAAACAGAGCAGGCCUCUCCGAAGGCCAAGGCAGGAGCUCCCGUCCUGGCUCAGUGGAAAUAAAUCUGACUAGCAUCCAUGAGGACAGAGGUUCGAUCCCUGGCCUCGCUCAAUGGGUUAAGGAUCCGGCGUUGCCGUGAGCUGUGGUGUAGGUCACAGACGCGGAUCAGAUCUGGUGUUGCUGUGGCUGUGGUGUAGGCUGGUAGCUACAGCUCUAAAGAGAUCCCCUAGCCUGGGAACCUCCAUAUGCCGCAGGAGUGCCCUAAAAAAAGACCAAAAAAAAAAAAAAAAACCACUUCGAAAUUGUUUUAAAAAACAAAACAGGAGUUCCCGUUGUGGCGCAGUGGUUAACGAAUCCGACUAGGAACCAUGAAGUUGCGGGUUCGGUCCCUGCCCUUGCUCAGUGGGUUAAGGAUCCGGUGUUGCCGUGAGCUGUGGUGUAGGUUGCAGAUGCGGCUCGGAUCCCGCGUUGCCAGUGGCUACAGCUCCUAUUUGACCCCUAGCCUGGGAACCUCCAUAUGCCGCGGGAGCGGCCCAAGAAAUAGCAACAACAGCAACAACAAAAAGACAAAAAGACAAAAAACAAAAAAACAAAAAACCAAUUUAAUUGCCGGUUGGCAUUUUUUUAGUAUUAACAUGUUGGCCAAUGUCUUUCUGAGGCAAAAGGCUCAUUCCAGAUACAUAAAUGUUAUUGUGUUCAUUACAACUUAGACUAAUAAUCCUAGAAAAUGUGCCUACGAAUAAAAAUAAAGGGUAUGCGGGCUGAGGCCCCUUAUCUUUUGGUUCCGCAGUGAAGCCAGCCUGGGGAUAGGAUGUGCAUAAAUCUGCUUACACAAUAAGGAAGCUGCCUGGGGCUGGACGAGAGCGCGGUCAGCCUGGCCGUCCUGCUCUGCCUAAUCCAAGUGCAGUCAGCGAGGGAAGCGCUGAACGUUUAAGCCACAGUCUUUCACAGACUCCCCUUGAUUCUGUGCCAGCCCUGCCGGUGCCAGGCUUUGUUGGGUUAAGCCCUGCAUAGACGUUCUUUCCUGAGCGUAAAAGAAGCAGGCUAUGCGAGAACAAAAUAGCAGGACAGGAGGGCUGGAGAAGAGGAAGCGGGAACACAAAAGCAGGGCUUUGUCCUUCAUCCCUGGAGAACAUCAACGGAUGGAGAGGUGAUUCAUGAAGCAGACACGCUUUGGGCGCACAGUUUGGAAAUCUACGCUACUUAGUAACUGCAUCAAGGGAUUAAAUAGUAGCUUGCACAUGAACCCAUUAAAAUGAAAACACAUUAUACACAGUAAUCUUUCCUAAUGUAUCUGUAAUCGAAACUUGAGACAGUCUGCACGUAAGAAGUUGAAUGAUGCAUUCCUUUAGCCAACAAAUGUAUCACUGGUGUUUUUAUAAAAAGACAAGGAAGCAAAAUGUAUGUUAUCUACAAGGACAGCUACAAAAUGACAAAUAAGGAAGAACAUUUAUAAAUACUAGCAUGUAAAUUCAAGAUACAUACAAAAACCUGUACACUAAUUUACAUAGUAUGAACCCCAAUUGGUAAGAAAAAAGGAAUUAUGGAUGGUAAAAUACUCGUAAAAGUAUCUAGAAGUUAAGAUUACAGAGUUUUCCUUUUUAGUGUUAUUUUAUGUUUCAGCCACAAGCAUUUAUAAAUUAAUAAUAAUUACAUAUUAGUGAUAAUUUACCUCUGAAAUUGGUCAGGGGAGGGGAGGAGAUACCAAAGAAAAAGAGGAAAAGAGAGAGAAUUUGAGCCUCAAGCAAAACAGGGGUGACACCAGGUGGGAAAGUCACUAAAUGCUUGAUGAUCAGCCACCAGCCAAGCUUUCUGCACUCAGACCAGCAGUUAAUAUUCAAAUUAAGCUUUUUGUAUUCUCAUUGAGAAAUACAGUAUAAGUUAACCACGACUCUGACUUUCUAAAAAGCUGCACUACUUUUCCAUAAUUUGGCCUUAGCAUUAAUUCUGAGAUGGUCUUUCUCUAGCUCACCCCCCCCCCACCGCAUCCCACUUGAAAUUAUCUCACGAGGCUAAAUUCAAAGGCAUCUGUGCAAAGGCUUUGCAACACCCCGAAAAGCGCCGGAGUGUGCACAGCUGGACCAGGCUUGAGAGGAAGCGUGAUAAGCACACCGACUGUUCCGAGGAAAAGUGAGUUUUACUUCUGCUCCCUGUCAGUGAAAGUGCAUGUGUUUAUUACAACGUGUUGACAUGAAACUUUAUACUUUAAAAACUGAACAGUAUUUUUUGGUUUUUGUUUUUAAUUUUCUAGUUGACUUCCAAGGUUGGAUUAGUUUCAGGUGUACAGCAAAGUGAAUCAGAUAUAAUAUACACACACCCAUUCUUGUUUCACAUAUUACACACCACUGAGUAGUGUUCCCGGAACACUCUUUUUGAACACAGUCCUUCUGAAUGCAGUAUUGACUGUUCACACAUGUAUGAUUUCUGCCCGAAACCGCUAUUUGGUUUUGCCUCUGAAACAAUCUCUCCUUUUAUAUCCCUACCUCUAAAUUCAUCUUACACGGAGCUGAGACCAUGAACACAACACAGGCCAUUCAUUCCCUGUUUCAUCUGCCAAUCCAAGUCAUUUAUUCCUAAUUUUAAACAUGCUUUCUUAAACAAAACAAAACAAAAAAGCAUUCAAGGGACUAAAUGCACGGAAAUGGAACUUGCCCAAGAGUUUCAUAUGUACAGAUUUAAAAGACAUCUGUGUAGUGAUCCAGGAAUCAGAUUACUUGUCAUGGGUUUUUUUUUUUUAAGGAUGGUAGAAAGACUGGGUGUAACCAUGGAAAUGUUCCAUCCUAAAACACGAGUCUCAGACAAAACCCCACAGCCUAGAAACAUCAAGGAAACCAAAGCCCUAGACUUCCGAUGGAGAAUUCAAAUUUACAUGACAUAGAACAGCUAAAAAGCCCCUUUCUCCACAACAGAAAAAAAAAGCGCUACACAGAGGGGGGGUCUUUUGCUUUUACUCCCAGCAAGAUGGGUUUUAUUCUGUGAAAGAAAACGCUUGUCAGCACCUAUAGAAAUAAGAUACGUGUCUAAAACUUUCCUCAAAAGGACUGUUACUCAGUAGCAAGAUUCGGCCACUGUCUCUAGAUAAUUGCAGUGUGGCAUUUACCUCCUAAAGUAAAGCUGGAUGUCCCCCCAUGUACUGGCCGAAAGGAGGUGGUGCUUUGGGGCGCAUGGGUCCCUUCCUCUUGGUCUACACUCAAAGGGAAGCCACUGAAACUUGGACACAUUCAUGUAAAGACAAUAAACCCUCUUUCGCCAAAGAAACAAGUAUGGACUAUCAACACGGAGGUUUAUUAAGGAACUAGUUUAUUAAUUCAACAAAUAUUUGCCCUAUGCCUGUCAUAUGGUAAACCCUGCCAA
This 5290-nucleotide long non-coding RNA is filed under the name Sus scrofa (pig). Its description in RNAcentral is "lncRNA (ENSSSCG00030013810.1)". Lineage: Eukaryota; Metazoa; Chordata; Mammalia; Artiodactyla; Suidae. The record is from RNAcentral.